UACGAAGGGGGCUAGCGUUGUUCGGAUUUACUGGGCGUAAAGCGCACGUAGGCGGUUCGUUAAGUCGGAUGUGAAAGCCCUCGGCUCAACUGAGGAAGUGCACCCGAAACUGGCGAGCUUGAGUACGAAAGAGGAUCGCGGAAUUCCCGGUGUAGAGGUGAAAUUCGUAGAUAUCGGGAGGAACACCGGUGGCGAAGGCGGCGAUCUGGGUCGAUACUGACGCUGAGGUGCGAAAGCGUGGGGAGCAAACAGG
RNAcentral lists this ribosomal RNA (253 nucleotides) under uncultured bacterium. RNAcentral's name for it is "partial 16S ribosomal RNA". It matches the Rfam family "Bacterial small subunit ribosomal RNA", at positions 524 to 776 of the family's 1533-position model. The record is from RNAcentral.